CCUACGGGGGGCAGCAGUCGAGAAUCAUUCACAAUGGGGGAAACCCUGAUGGUGCGACGCCGCGUGGGGGAAUGAAGGUCUUCGGAUUGUAAACCCCUGUCAUGUGGGAGCAAAUUAAAAAGAUAGUACCACACGAGGAAGAGACGGCUAACUCGGUGCCAGCAGCCGCGGUAAUACAGAGGUCUCAAGCGUUGUUCGGAAUCACUGGGCGUAAAGCGUGCGUAGGCUGUUUCGUAAGUCGUGUGUGAAAGGCGCGGGCUCAACCCGCGGACGGCCCAUGAUACUGCGAGACUAGAGUAAUGGAGGGGGAACCGGAAUUCUCGGUGUAGCAGUGAAAUGCGUAGAUAUCGAGAGGAACACUCGUGGCGAAGGCGGGUUCCUGGACAUUAACUGACGCUGAGGCACGAAGGCCAGGGGAGCGAAAGGGAUUAGAUACCCGAGUAGUC
Molecule: ribosomal RNA, 446 nt
Filed under: uncultured bacterium
Lineage: Bacteria
Description: partial 16S ribosomal RNA
Rfam family: Bacterial small subunit ribosomal RNA
Source: RNAcentral